GUUUACGUGCUCCAGUCAAGUGGACGGAAAUGAGUGCGCGUAUUUCCCAUUAUACUUCUAAUUAUCUAAUAUUUCGUAUAUUAUGUUCCAAAUCAAUUGGUUCCUAAGAAAAUAAGCUAUUGUUCUGCAAAAUAAGAAAACAAAUGAAAAAAUACUUUACUUAUUAUAAAAAUGAGGCAGGCGUUCUACGUACACACGCAUACUCAAUGCCAGCCACUCGACCUGACGCGGAUAGACACGCACCAGAGCACACGUACAUGGAGAGAGAUAAUGGAGAAAGAUUUAAACGAAGGUACUUGACGAUAAAUAUGGGAGAACGUAUUACGGACAUCCACUAUCACGAAAUUCCUUUCAUAACAUACUAAACAGAUAAAGCUGCUCACGGUUAGAUGCUUUGAAGAAGAUAAAUCCCUCGCAUUUCCUCGUACCAGGGUUCCAAGCUUUUUAAAACAGCGCCAUAUUGGUCUUUCGAAACUUCGUCGUCAAUCACAAUUUUUAACUGCCUCUUGAAACACGCUUCUGGUUAAAUAUGAUUCAAUAAUGCUCAUCAAGAGAAAUAUUCUCGUCGCCAUGAUAAAAUCUCUGUAAAAAUUCAAUAAAUUAUUAUAAAAUAUA
Molecule: long non-coding RNA, 615 nt
Organism: Vespula vulgaris
Lineage: Eukaryota; Metazoa; Arthropoda; Insecta; Hymenoptera; Vespidae
Exons: 4
Source: RefSeq, a predicted model, not a curated record